Molecule: unclassified non-coding RNA, 163 nt
Filed under: Talaromyces ucrainicus
Lineage: Eukaryota; Fungi; Ascomycota; Eurotiomycetes; Eurotiales; Trichocomaceae
Description: partial internal transcribed spacer 2
Source: RNAcentral
CUGCCCUCAAGCGCGGCUUGUGUGUUGGGCGUGGUCCCCCGGCCCCGGGGGACCUGCCCCAAAGGCAGCGGCGACGUCCCGUCUAGGUCCUCGAGCGUAUGGGGCUUUGUCACCCGCUCGGGAGGGGCCUGCGGGCGUUGGUCACCCCUAUUUCUUAUUGUAC